GAUCAUGGCUCAGAUUGAACGCUGGCGGCAGGCUUAACACAUGCAAGUCGAACGGUAACAUAAAGAAGCUUGCUUCUUUGAUGACGAGUGGCGGACGGGUGAGUAAUGCUUGGGAAUCUAGCUUAUGGAGGGGGAUAACUACGGGAAACUGUAGCUAAUACCGCGUAGUAUCGAGAGAUGAAAGUGUGGGACCUUCGGGCCACAUGCCAUAGGAUGAAGCCCAAGUGGGAUUAGGUAGG
RNAcentral lists this ribosomal RNA (239 nucleotides) under uncultured bacterium. RNAcentral's name for it is "partial 16S ribosomal RNA". It matches the Rfam family "Bacterial small subunit ribosomal RNA", at positions 15 to 249 of the family's 1533-position model. The record is from RNAcentral.